GCCCUAAAAGAAUGUCUGUAACAGCCUCCCUUUCUCCCCACCUCUCACAGGUCAUUUGGCUGUUGAAGAAACUGGAGCACUCGUCCUACGGAAUUACCCAUAUUCCGGGUGUGAAUGAAUGCUUCUCCGUGGGGCUCAUUUCUCUCUCCUCUGUGUUUCAUGAUAGCAGUAGUGUGGCACCAUUGUCAGGCUCACCGUCAUCACGUUUCUACCCCAUGGUCCCAGCAUUGUUGGAAAGGUGGGAGUGUGGACGAUCGAGUGCUAGCUUCUCGAAGUCUAAUUCCCCCAUCAUGUAACUUAAAACCAAGCCUUUCCUCCCUGCCACGUAGAACAAGGACCGCAAUCUGCCGUUGGCACUCAGGUUGGGAAAGUGAUUCUGGUACAAAGACAAUGCACGGACUUGUGCAAUGGCCAAGCAGGGCCAGCCCUGCAGCUGCCCUCAGAGCAGGCAGUUUCUGGAAACAGACCUUUCUGACGGUAAUAAGACAGUCGGAGCGUGAACUUUGCCGCCACGCCUUGAACCACUCACCAGCUGAGAGACCUUGGAGACUCUCCGUAAUGUUUCCACGCCUUAGCUUCCUUCUGAGCUAAACAGAAAGAGCAGCAUGUGUCUCCGUGGGCUACUGUGAAAAGCCAGGGCGUUAAAGCCAAGGGCAAGCCCUGGGUGAGUAACUCCCACAUUCUGGCGGUCAGUCGCAUUGUCCUUUGGUGGCGGGCCCCGUGCCAUGGAGCACGGCACCUCCCUCACACUCAGCAAUUCCCCGUGUCCCUGCCCACCUCUUUCUGAGCCUAACAUGAAAGUGUUAGUUGCUCAGUUGUGUUCAACUCUCUGCAUGUAGCACGCUCCUCUCCUCGGUCCAUGGGAUUCUCCAGGCAAGAAUACUGGAGUGGGUUGCCGUUCUCUCCUCCAGGGGAUCUUCCCGACCCAGGGAUCGAAGCCAGAUCUCCCACAUUGGAGGCAGGUUCUUUACUGUGUGAGCCGCCAGAGAAGGGUCAAUCAACAUAUUUCAUCUCUUUGCUAUAAAGAUGGAGAGGGCAAUGGCACCCCACUCCAGUGCUUUUGCCUGGAGAAUCCCAUGGAUGGAGGAGCCUGGUAGGCUGCAGUCCAUGAGGUCGCUAAGAGUCGGACACGACUGAGUGACAUCACUUUCACUUUUCACUUUCAUGCAUUGGAGAAGGAAAUGGCAACCCACUCCAGUGUUCUUGCCUGGAGAAUCCCAGGGACAGGGGAGCCUGGUGGGCUGCCGUCUAUGGGGUUGCACAGAGUCGGACACGACUGAAGCAACUUAGCAGCAGCAGCAGCUAUAAAGAUUGGAGCAGGGUGAGUGGAUAACUAGUCAAAUGAUUUGACCCCAGCCAUGGCUUUGAUUUGCCCAACUGGGACUUCAGACCGACCCCCAUGGGACCUAUGGGAGCUGGAGCCCCCUGGAGACCUGGCCGGGAAUCCAGGAAGGACAGGUGGGAGGAAGCAGGACUCAGGGGCAUUGUGGGGCUCCUGCCCCAGCCUGCAGCCAGCCCUGUCCCUGCACCGUUUGGGCCCAUGGGCCCAUAAGUUUGCUUUUUGCUUAUGUCAGUUCCGGUCAAACUUUCU
Molecule: long non-coding RNA, 1591 nt
Organism: Bos indicus x Bos taurus (hybrid cattle)
Lineage: Eukaryota; Metazoa; Chordata; Mammalia; Artiodactyla; Bovidae
Source: Ensembl